RNAcentral lists this non-coding RNA (45 nucleotides) under Schistosoma haematobium. The record is from RNAcentral. Lineage: Eukaryota; Metazoa; Platyhelminthes; Trematoda; Strigeidida; Schistosomatidae.
AUCCAGCUGACGAGUCCUAAAUAGAACUAAACGCACAUCUUGGAU